GAUGAAGAACGUAGCGAAAUGCGAUAAGUAGUGUGAAUUGCAGAAUUCAGUGAAUCAUCGAAUCUUUGAACGCACAUUGCGCCCCUUGGUAUUCCAUGGGGCAUGCCUGUUCGAGCGUCAUUUGUACCUUCAAGCUCUGCUUGGUGUUGGGUGUUUGUCUCGCCUCUGCGUGUAGACUCGCCUCAAAACAAUUGGCAGCCGGCGUAUUGAUUUCGGAGCGCAGUACAUCUCGCGCUUUGCACUCAUAACGACGACGUCCAAAAGUACAUUUUUACACUCUUGACCUCGGAUCAGGUAGGGAUACCCGCUGAAUUUAAGCAUAUCAUAAGCGGAGGA
RNAcentral lists this unclassified non-coding RNA (336 nucleotides) under soil metagenome. Its description in RNAcentral is "partial contains 5.8S ribosomal RNA, internal transcribed spacer 2, and large subunit ribosomal RNA". The stretch from base 1 to 120 matches the Rfam family "5.8S ribosomal RNA", at positions 35 to 154 of the family's 154-position model. The record is from RNAcentral.